UACGUAGGGGGCAAGCGUUAUCCGGAAUCAUUGGGCGUAAAGCGCGUGUAGGCGGUGCUCUAAGUUCGGUGUGAAAUCUCCUGCUUAACUGGGAGGGUGCGCCGGAAACUGGGGUGCUCGAGCGUGGGAGAGGAAAGCGGGAAUUCCUGGUGUAGCGGUGAAAUGCGUAGAGUAUCGGGAGGAACACCUGUGGCGAAAGCGGCUCACUGGACCACACUGACGCUGAUGCACGAAAGCUAGGGGAGCAAACAGG
This 253-nucleotide ribosomal RNA is filed under the name uncultured bacterium. RNAcentral describes it as "partial 16S ribosomal RNA". It matches the Rfam family "Bacterial small subunit ribosomal RNA", at positions 524 to 776 of the family's 1533-position model. The record is from RNAcentral.